GACGGAGGGGGCUAGCGUUGUUCGGAAUGACUGGGCGUAAAGGGCGCGUAGGCGGUUUUUUAAGUGAGGCGUGAAAGCCCUGGGCUUAACCCAGGAGGUGCGUUUCAUACUGGAAGACUUGAGUGCGAGAGAGGAAAGUGGAAUUCCGAGUGUAGAGGUGAAAUUCGUAGAUAUUCGGAGGAACACCAGUGGCGAAGGCGGCUCACUGGCUCGGUACUGACGCUGAGGUGCGAAAGCGUGGGGAGCAAACAGG
Molecule: ribosomal RNA, 253 nt
Filed under: uncultured bacterium
Lineage: Bacteria
Description: partial 16S ribosomal RNA
Rfam family: Bacterial small subunit ribosomal RNA
Source: RNAcentral